UAAAGAUUUAGCAAGUUAUGAUGGAAUAUGAAGUACCUUAUUUAGCUAAGUGUAAUCCACAGGUCACCUUUUUUAUGGAAUCUUGGGGGUGUGAUUAAAUAAUGACCACACGGAUACAAGCACAUGAAGAAAUAUGUAUGAAAGGCUUGAACUGAAGAUCUUCCCUAUGUACCUGCACUCACUACGUAGGUGUUUGGUUUAUCUGGACCUUUUCAAAAAACUUAACCAUUUCCAAUUAAGGUAAAACCAAUUUCAGUGUUCUUUGCAUGAUCAGAAAUCUUACUAGAGGAAUUACCUACAUUUAAGUGUGAGCAUUUAAUAGUUCAAUAGUUUAACAGUUUAUUCAGAUAAAACACUUAAAGAGAAAAGGAUACUACAGUCUAGUUAAUCUCCAAUGUCCACAUAUAAAGAUUUAGCAAGUUAUGAUGGAAUCUGAAGUACCUUAUUUAGCUAAGAGUAAUCCACAGGUCACCUUUUUUAUGGAUCUUGGGGGUGUGAUUAAAUAAUGACCACACAGAUACAAGCACAUGAAGAAAUAUGUAUGAAAGGCUUGAACUGUAGAUCUUCCCUAUGUACCUGCACUCACUACGUAGGUGUUUGGUUUAUCUGGACCUUUUCAAAAAACUUAACUAUUUCCGAUUAAGGUAAAACCAAUUUCAGUGUUCUUUGCAUGCUCAGAAAUCUUACUAGAGGAAUUACAUACAUUUAAAUGUGAG
RNAcentral lists this long non-coding RNA (716 nucleotides) under Musa acuminata (dwarf banana). RNAcentral describes it as "long non-coding RNA (MACU_LNC006805)". Lineage: Eukaryota; Viridiplantae; Streptophyta; Magnoliopsida; Zingiberales; Musaceae. The record is from RNAcentral.